UGUACUUCCCAUCCUGCUCACUCUAUAUCCCAGGGCAUCUCCUCAGACUCCCCUGACUCCACCCUUCUUCCUCCCAAAAAUCCUGCCCAGUUAUCGGUCAGUUGACUUUGUAUUAACAAUGAGAGCAACGCAUCUCUAGAGUCACCUCUGCCUUGGGGACUAAGACAUCAAAUAUUCAUCUCUAUCUUCAUUUUACAGAUUUCCCAUCAGCCUCAAUGACUAUAUAUUCAAGUUACUCAAUCUCUUGUGAAAAUGGAUCACACACGCCUUGUAGGAUGUGCAUCUCUUGAGACACCAUUUACAAUUUACAUCAUUCUUCAUAAUAACCUGGAGGGAGAAGACAUUUCCUGAGACAUUAGAUUUAUCAUACAGAGUAAACUCGGAGCUGAUUGAAGUGCAACUGUACAUAUAUUGAGGACAGAUCUGAAGAUGGUCUGGAAAGUCAUACUCUGAAAAAUAUGACUCUUCCAGCUGGAGUUCUUGAAGAUAUUUUCUCGUAGCCUCUGUUUCUUCUUUCCACACGUGCUCUGAGAAAUGGGAAGUAAUAGCCUGUACUUUCUGAGAGCAAUCAAUGUUCUUCCCCAGAAUGAAAAAUAAUUUGUACAUGGAAUGAAGAAUAUUAUCACUUUAAUUAUAACCACAUGCUGAUCAUUAAAAAAGACAUUAGCAACUGCUUUAAACUUAGAUGUGGACUAUGAUAGAAUAUGGUAAGAAGUCCCUAUUGUACGGACACAGAAAAAUGAGAUUGAUAUCUGCUAAGCAAAUGCUCUUUGGGCUUGAGAAUGACAGAGGAUAUGCGUGUCUGCUUUGCAAGCAUCAUCAUUGCAUUUAAAUAUCAAGCACCCACAUGCAAAGCUGGAAGUGGAUGCACACAUCUGGAACCCCAGCCUUGAAGGGAAGAACAGGCAGAUACCAAGAGUUCCCUGCUGAGUAAACUUAGCCAAAAGCCAAACUUCAUGUUUCAAUGUGAAACUUCCAGGAAAUAUUUGGAUGGUGGUAAAGGAAGACCCUCGAAGUUCUCCCCAGUUCUGGUUUUUGCAUAUGUGCAUUGGUAGGUACACAGUACAACAUGCACACGUAACAUAUAUGUACACACACACACACACACACACACACACACACACACACACACACCGAGACAGAGACAGAGACACGCACAGAAAAAAGAGGGGAAGCUUACUUAAAGGUUUGAAAAACAGAGUGUGAAUUCAGAGUGUUUUUGUUUUUCAUGAACUGUAAAUCAAUCACAAACAAUGGAAUCUCAUGGAUUGAAAAACUCUGAAAUGAGAAGAAAAGUCAAAUCGAGGGUCAAGUUGCCCAAGUCUUUCCAAAACUGAAGAAGCCUUGUCCAGUUUCAAGGGUGAAAUAAUCUUCUAGCUGAUUCACCUGUCUACAGUGGUGGCUUGCUAGAGACCAUACACAGAGAUCUUAGUGACAUGGUGAGCGUUACAUACCUGUAAUCCUGUCAUUUGAAGGCUGAAGAAAGAGGAUAGAGUUGAAGGCCAGCCUGGACUAUACAGUGAAUUACUGCACAGCAAGACAUCUCAAAAACAAAACAAAAAUCUCAGAGGAAAAAGACCGCUCAAACCCCCUGAAAUAAAAAAAAGUCCUUCAAAAUAUAAAGUGACACAUUAUUAGAAAAAUAAAUUAAAAGAAAUAUUUUGUUCAAGACCUCCCAGUGGCUCUUGGUGAAUUUAGGUAAGUCAAGAAGGUCAAGAGGACUGUGCUUACUGAUCUUCCAUUGAUGCUGCAAAAAGCUUCUGACAGGAAAAACUGGAGGGAGAAAGGUUUGUUUGACUCAGAGUAUCAGAGGAAUUUCACCGCAUCAUGGUGAGGAAGAUAUGGUGAAGUUCAUGGUGGCAGUGGCAUCUUCCCUCUUGGCAGACCAGGAGACAGAGAUGGUCAGAACCAAGGGCCAGGCUUUCAGGUUCAACAGGUCAAUUCCAGUGACCUAGGUUGUUAGCUAGGCCCCAGCUUCUAAAGACUCCACCCAAUUCAGAAUGGAUCUGUAUUGGAAACCGGGCAUUCAAAACAUGAGGGCAUUUUAUAUUCAAACCACAGCAAGAAUCACUGAUUUGACAUCUCUGUAUGCAAGUCAGUCCCUGUAGUAAAUACAUAACUCAAACUCACAUUUACUGUGACUUAUUUCUCUUCUAAUUCUACUGACAUCAUUGAUGUUAUUAAAAAUAUACCUCAGACAGACUUCAUGUAGCACGGAAGAUACUGAAGCGGAGGAUACUGAAGAUACAGAAGAUAGCAGACCCUGAAGGGGAGGAUUCCUUUUAAGUAGAUUGACAGAUAGGUUACAUCUAAGUAUCUGUCAUGGCAUGAUGGCUAUAAGGAAGAGAAUCACCACCAUCAGUCCUUCUUGGCCAAAACUAUCUCCAACUCACCACGAUGAAGGAAAUAUUCGUAUAGUUAUAUG
Myodes glareolus (Bank vole) is the source of this 2425-nucleotide long non-coding RNA. RefSeq lists it as uncharacterized. The record is from RefSeq and is a predicted model, not a curated record. NCBI's taxonomy places the organism in Eukaryota, Metazoa, Chordata, Mammalia, Rodentia, Cricetidae.